GAGGAAGACAACUCAGCAGCACAUCUUUUCUCCUUUGCUAAGGUUCUUCUGCCACAAUGAAACUGCUGAUUUGUCUUUCCUGCAUUCUGAGCAUAGCAGCCGCUGUCCCAGUCCGUCGGUCAGCAAGUGGCAGUGCCAGCAACGAGCGCAUUCCUAUCAUGGUUCCGCAAGUGCCUCCUCAGGUUCCUCCUCAGUUUCCUCCUCAGUUUCCUCCUCCACUUCCAGCACAACCAUACCCACCUCAGAUUCCAGCACAGCCAUACCCACCUCAGAUGAUCCCGAUCUAUGUGACCUAUGAUCCAGCUCAGGGUUUGCCCUCUAUUCUCAGCAAUCUGCCAGGCGUGGUGAACCCUGGACCUGGAGGUGUUGGUGGCCCAUUUCUGAUCCCUUAUCCUGGAAUUCCUGGGGCGGGCUUCCCACCUAUUGUGGGGAAAUAGCAUCCCAGCUGAUAUACCCUCCUGCGGUGACAGCAAGAACAUGAAGGAUGUGCUCCAUGCCGGCUUUUACUUCCCUGCUGCAGUCUUCACACCACAUUUGUAUGCAUCUUGAAUGGCAGUUAUUAACUUUAAAUGGCUAUAAGUAAUAGUAAUUUCUUUUUUUGACAACGAUAUACCAUCUGUCAUCUCUUGUGAAGAUUUGUUUUCACCUAAUGCAAUAUAAAAGCAUCAGCUUCUAAUCUAAGCAGUGUUCAUAUUUGAUUGGGUAAAUGUAAGCACUGACAGUUCCAUUUUGAAAUUGUCAAAUUUUAAAAGAAAAGACCACAGUUUUAACUAUGGGUUUAAAGUUCAUUAACACCACUAAAGAUGAUAAAUGUAUGAAUGCUGUAUUGUGUAACACAUAGAUAGAAAUGCAUAAAUUUUGGUUUGCUGCUCUGCCUCAGUAAGUGAUUGAAAUGUCUCGCUUAACAGAUUUCAGUCAAAUAGGUCACUUUCAGUUGUGUUUUAAUUCCAUUCCAAUCAAUAUGAAAAAAUAGUUAUGACUAACUUAAGUCCCACGGUACUAAGAUGUAACUAACAGUACCCAGCCCACAAUAUCUUUUUUGUUUCUUGCUGGAAAGUGGGAGGGGUAUUCCCUUUAAAAAUUGCAUGAAUAAAGAAUACAAACGAGCACAUCAACUUUAUGUUUAUGGUCUGUUUGGAGCAGAAUCAACACAUCACAAUUUUUCACACCUCUGUAUUUUGGGUUUUCCUCUUCCAUGUAGAUUCAGUAGCUUCUGACAAAGCCUAACCACAGUGCUGGCCUAGUUUGCACAUAACAGUAAGCCGUGGUUUGCUUAAUGAACCACAAUUAACAAUGUGUUAUUCCACAAGUGACUGAACAAACCAUGGCUUGUUUUCUAGCUGAUCAGGACUUGGCAGCUUGAUGAAUGUCUGAGGCCAAAAAACAACCCCCCCAAAACCCCCUAUGGUUAAGGAAUGGUGUUGCAUUCUCACAUAGUACCAAGCCAUGGUUAAAACAAAUCAAGGUUCAUAAGCUAAGGGCUUCAUAUUGUAAACAAACCAUUGUUAAGCUGCUGUGCAGGAUUUAUAUAUAACACUUAAUACAAAAAAAUGUUUAAUAAACCUUAGCAUAAAGUGUGAGUUGGAUGGUUUUAUUAUAUCAACAUUUCCCAAACAUUUGAUACUGUGUUAAUUUUUCUUCUGGAAUAAAUGGAGGUCAUAACACAUUCAAAAAGAUUAAAUACCAGCUCCCAGGAUGAUAAGCAUACAUUCUCCUUACAAUGGCAGGCUUUUGUUGGCAUCAGUCUAUCUCAGGAGCCAACGGAGCAGUGUGCCUUUGGGGAUGAGGUCAAGCUGUUGGACGGUUGCAGCACCUACAGUAGCUGUAGAGACCAAUGUGGUAAAUACAUGUUUUGUUGCAGCUGGGGCAGAUGAAGGUAUCCAGUUUUGCUGCUGGCUUUAGUAAUAUUGUAUUCCAGCAUUCUGCCCUCCCAUUUGUCCAGUGUCUGGACUCCAGGAUGGAAGAACAAUUGCUGGGCAAUGGUGUUUUGGGGCCUGUCGGAGCAAAGCAAAAACAGAUAACAUAGGCAGAAGGCAAGGCAUGCCAGAAACUGUGGCUGCUGUGCAAUUUAUUCAGAAGUCAAAGAAUAAAAUCGCUUCGCUAUGUGUUUCAGAAAAUAUUGGCAGCUUCACAUAACAAAUAGAAGGGUACAUAAUGAACAGCCAUCCCAAACUUUAGCCAAAGGUUCAUAAGAGAAAACUAGGCGCUAAUAUAUAACCAAUGAGAAGCUGGCUGGCAUAAAAGGUUAGCGUUAUUGAUUUGUUGAUAAGACUUUCUCAUUACGGGGAUGGUUCCAAAGUAUAACGGCCUUUAGGCAGGCCAUGGCAUGAAGACACUCCAAUAGUGGCUCGGAGGCGAAGCUAUUCUUCAGAGUGGUCCAAGGUAGUUUACAAUCACUUUGGUGGUGGAAAGGUUAAGCGCUUGAAAGCAGGUUUCUAAACUGCUGGUGGUUUCAA
Long non-coding RNA from Podarcis muralis (Common wall lizard), 2456 nucleotides. The record is from Ensembl. NCBI's taxonomy places the organism in Eukaryota, Metazoa, Chordata, Lepidosauria, Squamata, Lacertidae.